UACGAAGGGGGCUAGCGUUGUUCGGAAUUACUGGGCGUAAAGGGCGCGUAGGCGGCCAACUAAGUCAGACGUGAAAUCCCUCGGCUCAACCGGGGAACUGCGUCUGAUACUGGAUGGCUUGAAUUCGGGAGAGGGAUGCGGAAUUCCAGGUGUAGCGGUGAAAUGCGUAGAUAUCCGGAGGAACACCGGUGGCGAAGGCGGCUUCCUGGACCGACACUGACGCUGAGGCGCGAAAGCUAGGGGAGCAAACGGG
RNAcentral lists this ribosomal RNA (253 nucleotides) under uncultured bacterium. RNAcentral describes it as "partial 16S ribosomal RNA". It matches the Rfam family "Bacterial small subunit ribosomal RNA", at positions 524 to 776 of the family's 1533-position model. The record is from RNAcentral.